Molecule: ribosomal RNA, 253 nt
Filed under: uncultured bacterium
Lineage: Bacteria
Description: partial 16S ribosomal RNA
Rfam family: Bacterial small subunit ribosomal RNA
Source: RNAcentral
GACGAACCGUACGAACGUUAAUCGGAAUUACUGGGCGUAAAGCGUGCGCAGGCGGUGAGCUGUGUCCGAUGUGAAAGCCCCGGGCUUAACCUGGGAAUGGCAUUGGAAACUGGCUCGCUGGAGUGUGGCAGAGGGGGGUGGAAUUCCGCGUGUAGCAGUGAAAUGCGUAGAGAUGCGGAGGAACACCGAUGGCGAAGGCAGCCCCCUGGGCUAACACUGACGCUCAGGCACGAAAGCGUGGGGAGCAAACAGG